RNAcentral lists this transfer RNA (72 nucleotides) under Marmota marmota marmota (Alpine marmot). It matches the Rfam family "tRNA". Rfam says of the family: Transfer RNA (tRNA) molecules are approximately 80 nucleotides in length. Their secondary structure includes four short double-helical elements and three loops (D, anti-codon, and T loops). Further hydrogen bonds mediate the characteristic L-shaped molecular structure. tRNAs have two regions of fundamental functional importance: the anti-codon, which is responsible for specific mRNA codon recognition, and the 3' end, to which the tRNAs corresponding amino acid is attached (by aminoacyl-tRNA synthetases). tRNAs cope with the degeneracy of the genetic code in two manners: having more than one tRNA (with a specific anti-codon) for a particular amino acid; and 'wobble' base-pairing, i.e. permitting non-standard base-pairing at the 3rd anti-codon position. Lineage: Eukaryota; Metazoa; Chordata; Mammalia; Rodentia; Sciuridae. RNAcentral also lists the same sequence under 1 other name. The record is from Rfam by way of RNAcentral.
UGGGUUGUGGCUUAGCGAUAGAGCGCUCGUCUAGCACAUGUGAGGCCCUGGGUUUGAUCCUCAGCACCACAU